Non-coding RNA from Sus scrofa (pig), 1894 nucleotides. Lineage: Eukaryota; Metazoa; Chordata; Mammalia; Artiodactyla; Suidae. The record is from RefSeq and is a predicted model, not a curated record.
CAUUGCUGUGGCUGUGGCUGUGGCCGGCAGCUGUAGCUCUGAUUCGACCCCUAGGCUGGGAACCUCCAUAUGCUGCGGGUGCAGCCCUAAAAAGCCAAAAGAAAAAAAGAAGAAUCCCAGCUCCAACAACAGGGAACUGCAUUCAAUAGCCUGUGAUAAACCAUCAUGGAAAAGCCUAGCCCACCUGUGGAAUAUUCUCUCUAAAUUAACUUGCUUUCACUUAAACAAAAAAAAAAUGGCAAAGAUUAUGUAUGUGCAGAAAUGAGUCACUGUUCUAUACAGCAGAAAUUAGCAUUGUAAAUCAACUAUACUUCAAUUAAAAAAAUUUUUUUGGGCUGCCCCGCAGCUUACGGAGUUCCCGAGUCAGGGAUCAAGAUUAGAGCCACAGUUGCAGCCUAAGCUGAAGCGGUGGCAACGCUGGCUCCUUAACCUACUGUGCUGGGCUGGGGAUCGAACCCGUGUCCCAGCAUUCCCAAGACACUACCCAUCCCUUUGCGCCACAGCGGGAACUCUCGAUAAAAUUUUUUUAAAUAAAAAAAUGUAGCUGCUAUAAAAAAAAAAAUCCCAACUCCAAAAGUAAACGUGACGGCAACCGCUUGUCUCUUCUUCAUCAGGAGAAGGAUACGCUGCGUCUGCCAAACGGAGAGACUCCGGGCCGGGCAGCUGGGGCCACGACCCGGCCAAGCCAGGGUCCCAAAGGCCACAGGCACAGCUUCCACCUUCCAGAGGGUUCAAGGGCAACUGACUGGCCGGGGACGUGAAGCCAUGGAAGGAAAGCAGAGGGCCGCUGUCUCCGCCCGGGGGCCUCGGACGCUGGGGAUGCUGCUGACCUGGAGACCUCGGGGUCUUGCUUGAGGAGCCGCAGGAGGCUCUCAGUGUUGAUGAAGAUGGCCCAGCACGGGAGGCAGCAGAGCAGCAGGAUGAGGACGCCUCGCUGCAGUAUGACCCCCACUCGCUUCAGGUUCCUGCCGCCAAAGGACUGGGGAAAAUCAACCCGGUGAUGGAGAAGGCGCCGCACACAGGCCCCCGCUGCGCACGCGCGCGCGCACGGCCCCCGCAGGCCUGCGGGCGCUGCCUGCCCUCUCUCCCGCCCUGGCACCCGAGCUGGGCGCCCUGGGAACCGGGCAGCAGAGCCCCCAGCUUGAAAGGGGUGAGAGGAAGGGGGCACGUGUGAGAAGCUCCCAGACUCCUUCGACCAAGGCGUCUGGAACACCUGCUGCGUGCCAGUCAUGCGUGCGGCUGCCAACUAAGCCGGCAGGGAACUAGGCAGCCAAAAAAGAAUCUGCUUCCACACCCACUCAAAGAGACAAUGGAGGAGGAAUUCCCAUCCUGGCACAGCAGAAAUGAACCCCACUAGUAUCCAUGAGGAUGUGGGGUUCCAUCCCUGGCCUCGCUCAGGGCGUUAAGGAUCCAGUGUUGCCAUGAGCCGUGGUGUGGGUCUCAGACGCGGCUUGGAUCCUGUGUUGCUGUGGCUGUGGUGGAGGCAGGCGGCAGUAGCUCUCAUUCGAUGCCUAGCUUGGGAACUUCCAUACGCUGCAGGUGCAGCCCUAAAAAAGACGAAAAAAACUGAGAGACAGAGACAUAGACAGAGACAGUGGAGGAGAUCCCUGGUGGCUCAGCAGGUUCCAGCAUUUUCACGGCUGUGGCUCUGGCUACUGCUGUGGCGUGGGUUCGAUGCCUGGCCCAGGAGCAGCUUCAUGCUGUGGGCAUAACCAAAAAAAAGAGCUACAAUGGAAAUAAAUAUUCCACCACAGACGAAUGGACAGGGCGGUGACAUCAUACAGAACAUUAUGCAAAUAUUAAAAGGGGGAAUGUGCACCAACUUAUGGAAACAAAACAUUCUCCAAACACAUGGUUUAACAGGAGGAAAAGAUAAAACCGUAUGUAAAGUUUA